RNAcentral lists this long non-coding RNA (677 nucleotides) under Drosophila guanche. Lineage: Eukaryota; Metazoa; Arthropoda; Insecta; Diptera; Drosophilidae. The record is from RNAcentral.
GUUAAAUGGCUAAUUAUAUAUUUAUUUGUAUUCCUGUAUCCUGGCAUUCAGCUGAUAAGUAAUUGCCGUAUCAAAAGGCUAAGAUUUAUGUGCCUUUCGAAAAGAAAAUCGAAAUGCCAUUCAGUGUGUUGGUUACAUUUUUCCUUAAAUAAAGAAUACAGUGGCGAGUGGCUAGUUAAAUAAGUUUGGACAUAGCCCCCCCCAUGUACAUAGUACCACAAAAACAUUGUGGUUAAGCAAGGCAAGCCAGGUCUUUACUUUGCCUUCUUGCAGUUGAUUCAAUUUAAAUCAAAUAAAUAUGUGGACUCGGUGCGGUUUCCCUUUUCGUUUCUAAGCUAGCAACUGGCGCAGGACAGGUGAUCCAAAUGCGAGUUAGCUAACUGGAACUGCCUGUGUGUGUCGUAAGAGCACAGGGGGAGGAGGGGGACGACGGUGCACGAACCCACUUCGAACAGGUGAAAGCCCUGCCAGCAACUUGUUUGCUCUCCGAUUGAAAAUGGAAAGCCCGUUGCGGAUUUGAGUUCAAUUUCUGCUCCGGACUCUUGAAAGGUUCUCUCUGCAACGAAUUUCCAGUGGCGCAGCUAACCCAAAUACGAGCCGCGGAAAAGCGCCGCUAAAAGGGGUUUUUAUGCAAAAAUGUGAAGGCGAAAACUGGUUUUUGCCAGCCAGAAUUAGCC